GACGAACGCUGGCGGCGUGCUUAACACAUGCAAGUCGAACGGCAAGGCCCUGCGUUUGUGGGGUGCUCGAGUGGCGAACGGGUGAGUAACACGUGAGUAACCUGCCCUUGACUUUGGGAUAACUUCAGGAAACUGGGGCUAAUACCGGAUAGGAGCUCCUGCUCCAUGGUGGGGGUUGGAAAGUUUCGGCGGUUGGGGAUGGACUCGCGGCUUAUCAGCUUGUUGGUGGGGUAGUGGCUUACCACGGAUUUGAAGGGUAGCCGGCCUGAGAGGGGGACCGGCCACAUUGCGACUGAGAUACGGCACAGUCUCCUACGGGAGGCAGCAGUGGGGAAUAUUGCACAAUGGGCGGAAGCCAGAUGCAGAAACGCCGCGUGCGGGAAGACGGCCUUCGGGUUGUAAACCGCUUUCGCCGGUAACGAAGCGUGAGUGACGGUAAUGGGUAAAGAAGCACCGGCUAACUACGUG
This 468-nucleotide ribosomal RNA is filed under the name uncultured bacterium. RNAcentral's name for it is "partial 16S ribosomal RNA". It matches the Rfam family "Bacterial small subunit ribosomal RNA", at positions 28 to 507 of the family's 1533-position model. The record is from RNAcentral.